UGCCACUAUGUUCUGGAGAAGACUGGUUGCCAGCCUGCUACCUCUGGACUAUGGCCCUGUGUUAAAAACCUUUAUUUCUCCCUGCAGAAAGGCUUGUUCGUGCUUUUCUGCCAGGGUGUUCGGUAAAUUCAAUUUACCGAACAAACGCACGAAUGACCGGACCACCUGGGUAUGGAGUGUGCAGGCAAUUGAUCUCCCAGAAGCUGUGGUUAACUGCAGCUUAACU
This is a non-coding RNA of Pelobates cultripes (western spadefoot toad), 226 nucleotides long. Lineage: Eukaryota; Metazoa; Chordata; Amphibia; Anura; Pelobatidae. The record is from the annotation of a GenBank genome assembly.